RNAcentral lists this transfer RNA (77 nucleotides) under Magnetococcales bacterium. RNAcentral describes it as "tRNA-Arg". It matches the Rfam family "tRNA". Rfam says of the family: Transfer RNA (tRNA) molecules are approximately 80 nucleotides in length. Their secondary structure includes four short double-helical elements and three loops (D, anti-codon, and T loops). The record is from RNAcentral. Lineage: Bacteria; Pseudomonadati; Pseudomonadota; Magnetococcia; Magnetococcales.
GCGCCUGUAGCCCAAUCGGAUAGAGCAACGGCCUUCUAAGCCGUAGGUUGCAGGUUCGAUUCCUGCCAGGCGUACCA